RNAcentral lists this ribosomal RNA (254 nucleotides) under uncultured bacterium. RNAcentral's name for it is "partial 16S ribosomal RNA". It matches the Rfam family "Bacterial small subunit ribosomal RNA", at positions 1249 to 1500 of the family's 1533-position model. The record is from RNAcentral.
GCGAACCUGCGAAGGCAAGCGGAUCUCUUAAAGCCGUUCUCAGUUCGGACUGUAGGCUGCAACUCGCCUACACGAAGCUGGAAUCGCUAGUAAUCGCGGAUCAGCACGCCGCGGUGAAUACGUUCCCGGGCCUUGUACACACCGCCCGUCACACCAUGAGAGUCUGUAACACCCAAAGCCGGUGGGAUAACCUUUAUAGGAGUCAGCCGUCUAAGGUAGGACAGAUGAUUAGGGUGAAGUCGUAACAAGGUAGC